UACGUAGGAGACAAACGUUAUCCGGAGUUACUGGGCGUAAAGGGCGUGUAGGUGGUUGCGUAAGUCUGGCGUGAAAUUUUUCGGCUUAACCGGGAAAGGUCGUCGGAUACUGCGUAGCUAGAGGACGGUAGAGGCGUGUGGAAUUCCGGGUGUAGUGGUGAAAUGCGUAGAGAUCCGGAGGAACACCAGUGGCGAAGGCGACACGCUGGGCCGUACCUGACACUGAUGCGCGACAGCAUGGGGAGCAAACAGG
RNAcentral lists this ribosomal RNA (253 nucleotides) under uncultured bacterium. RNAcentral's name for it is "partial 16S ribosomal RNA". It matches the Rfam family "Bacterial small subunit ribosomal RNA", at positions 524 to 776 of the family's 1533-position model. The record is from RNAcentral.